GACGAACGCUGGCGGCGUGCCUAAUACAUGCAAGUCGAACGAACUCUGGUAUUGAUUGGUGCUUGCAUCAUGAUUUACAUUUGAGUGAGUGGCGAACUGGUGAGUAACACGUGGGAAACCUGCCCAGAAGCGGGGGAUAACACCUGGAAACAGAUGCUAAUACCGCAUAACAACUUGGACCGCAUGGUCCGAGCUUGAAAGAUGGCUUCGGCUAUCACUUUUGGAUGGUCCCGCGGCGUAUUAGCUAGAUGGUGGGGUAAUGGCUCACCAUGGCAAUGAUACGUAGCCGACCUGAGAGGGUAAUCGGCCACAUUGGGACUGAGACACGGCCCAAACUCCUACGGGAGGCAGCAGUAGGGAAUCUUCCACAAUGGACGAAAGUCUGAUGGAGCAACGCCGCGUGAGUGAAGAAGGGUUUCGGCUCGUAAAACUCUGUUGUUAAAGAAGAACAUAUCUGAGAGUAACUGUUCAGGUAUUGACGGUAUUUAACCAGAAAGCCACGGCUAACUACGUGCCAGCAGCCGCGGUAAUACGUAGGUGGCAAGCGUUGUCCGGAUUUAUUGGGCGUAAAGCGAGCGCAGGCGGUUUUUUAAGUCUGAUGUGAAAGCCUUCGGCUCAACCGAAGAAGUGCAUCGGAAACUGGGGGAACUUGAGUGCAGAAGAGGACAGUGGAACUCCAUGUGUAGCGGUGAAAUGCGUAGAUAUAUGGAAGAACACCAGUGGCGAAGGCGGCUGUCUGGUCUGUAACUGACGCUGAGGCUCGAAAGUAUGGGUAUCAAACAGGAUUAGAUACCCUGGUAGUCCAUACCGUAAACGAUGAAUGCUAAGUGUUGGAGGGUUUCCGCCCUUCAGUGCUGCAGCUAACGCAUUAAGCAUUCCGCCUGGGGAGUACGGCCGCAAGGCUGAAACUCAAAGGAAUUGACGGGGGCCCGCACAAGCGGUGGAGCAUGUGGUUUAAUUCGAAGCUACGCGAAGAACCUUACCAGGUCUUGACAUACUAUGCAAAUCUAAGAGAUUAGACGUUCCCUUCGGGGACAUGGAUACAGGUGGUGCAUGGUUGUCGUCAGCUCGUGUCGUGAGAUGUUGGGUUAAGUCCCGCAACGAGCGCAACCCUUAUUAUCAGUUGCCAGCAUUAAGUUGGGCACUCUGGUGAGACUGCCGGUGACAAACCGGAGGAAGGUGGGGAUGACGUCAAAUCAUCAUGCCCCUUAUGACCUGGGCUACACACGUGCUACAAUGGAUGGUACAACGAGUUGCGAACUCGCGAGAGUAAGCUAAUCUCUUAAAGCCAUUCUCAGUUCGGAUUGUAGGCUGCAACUCGCCUACAUGAAGUCGGAAUCGCUAGUAAUCGCGGAUCAGCAUGCCGCGGUGAAUACGUUCCCGGGCCUUGUACACACCGCCCGUCACACCAUGAGAGUUUGUAACACCCAAAGUCGGUGGGGUAACCUUUUAGGAACCAGCCGCCUAAGGUGGGACAGAUGAUUAGGGUG
This 1490-nucleotide ribosomal RNA is filed under the name Lactiplantibacillus argentoratensis. RNAcentral describes it as "bacterial SSU rRNA". It matches the Rfam family "Bacterial small subunit ribosomal RNA". The record is from RNAcentral. Lineage: Bacteria; Bacillati; Bacillota; Bacilli; Lactobacillales; Lactobacillaceae.